RNAcentral lists this ribosomal RNA (428 nucleotides) under Pseudomonadota bacterium. Its description in RNAcentral is "Proteobacteria bacterium partial 16S ribosomal RNA". It matches the Rfam family "Bacterial small subunit ribosomal RNA", at positions 355 to 776 of the family's 1533-position model. Lineage: Bacteria; Pseudomonadati; Pseudomonadota. The record is from RNAcentral.
UGGGGAAUAUUGGACAAUGGGCGAAAGCCUGAUCCAGCCAUGCCGCGUGUGUGAAGAAGGUCUUCGGAUUGUAAAGCACUUUAAGUUGGGAGGAAGGGCAGUAAGCGAAUACCUUGCUGUUUUGACGUUACCGACAGAAUAAGCACCGGCUACUCUGUGCCAGCAGCCGCGGUAAUACAGAGGGUGCAAGCGUUAAUCGGAAUUACUGGGCGUAAAGCGCGCGUAGGUGGUUCGUUAAGUUGAAUGUGAAAGCCCCGGGCUCAACCUGGGAACUGCAUCCAAAACUGGCGAGCUAGAGGAGGGCAGAGGGUGGUGGAAGUUCCUGUGUAGCGGUGAAAUGCGUAGAUAUAGGAAGGAACACCAGUGGCGAAGGCGACCACCUGGGCGCAUACUGACACUGAGGUGCGAAAGCGUGGGGAGCAAACAGG